AUUGAACGCUGGCGGCAUGCCUUACACAUGCAAGUCGAACGGCAGCACGGGAGCAAUCCUGGUGGCGAGUGGCGAACGGGUGAGUAAUAUAUCGGAACGUGCCCGGUCGUGGGGAUAACGUAGCGAAAGCUACGCUAAUACCGCAUACGAUCUACGGAUGAAAGCGGGGGAUCGCAAGACCUCGCGCGAUUGGAGCGGCCGAUAUCAGAUUAGGUAGUUGGUGAGGUAAAGGCUCACCAAGCCGACGAUCUGUAGCUGGUCUGAGAGGACGACCAGCCACACUGGGACUGAGACACGGCCCAGACUCCUACGGGAGGCAGCAGUGGGGAAUUUUGGACAAUGGGCGCAAGCCUGAUCCAGCAAAUGCCGCGUGCAGGAUGAAGGCCU
RNAcentral lists this ribosomal RNA (387 nucleotides) under uncultured bacterium. RNAcentral describes it as "bacterial SSU rRNA". It matches the Rfam family "Bacterial small subunit ribosomal RNA", at positions 30 to 417 of the family's 1533-position model. The record is from RNAcentral.